Molecule: ribosomal RNA, 896 nt
Filed under: uncultured archaeon
Lineage: Archaea
Description: bacterial SSU rRNA
Rfam family: Archaeal small subunit ribosomal RNA
Source: RNAcentral
GACCUGACUGCUAUCGGAUUGAUACUAAGCCAUGCGAGUCGUUGUAGCAAUACAAGGCAUACGGCUCAGUAACGCGUAGUCAACCUAACCUAUGGACGGGAAUAACCUCGGGAAACUGAGAAUAAUGCCCGAUAGAACAUUAUGCCUGGAAUGGUUUAUGUUCCAAAUGAUUUAUCGCCAUAGGAUGGGACUGCGGCCUAUCAGUUUGUUGGUGAGGUAAUGGCCCACCAAGACUAUUACAGGUACGGGCUCUGAGAGGAGUAGCCCGGAGAUGGGUACUGAGACACGGACCCAGGCCCUAUGGGGCGCAGCAGGCGAGAAAACUUUGCAAUGUGCGAAAGCACGACAAGGUUAAUCCGAGUGAUUUCUGCUAAAGAGAUCUUUUGUUAGUCCUAGAAACACUAACGAAUAAGGGGUGGGCAAGUUCUGGUGUCAGCCGCCGCGGUAAAACCAGCACCUCAAGUGGUCAGGAUGAUUAUUGGGCCUAAAGCAUCCGUAGCCGGCUCUGUAAGUUUUCGGUUAAAUCUGUACGCUCAACGUACAGGCUGCCGGGAAUACUGCAGAACUAGGGAGUGGGAGAGGUAGACGGUACUCGGUAGGAAGUGGUAAAAUGCUUUGAUCUAUCGAUGACCACCUGUGGCGAAGGCGGUCUACCAGAACACGUCCGACGGUGAGGGAUGAAAGCUGGGGGAGCAAACCGGAUUAGAUACCCGGGUAGUCCCAGCUGUAAACUAUGCAAACUCAGUGAUGCAUUGGCUUGUGGCCAAUGCAGUGCUGCAGGGAAGCCGUUAAGUUUGCCGCCUGGGAAGUACGUACGCAAGUAUGAAACUUAAAGGAAUUGGCGGGGGAGCACCACAAGGGGUGAAGCCUGCGGUUCAAUUGGAUUCAACGCCGGG